UGCUGUUAUGUUCUGAUCUGUGCAGGCAGUUUAUGCACUUAACGUAACUCCGUUAGACAACUAACUUACAGAGCUAGCGUUUGUUGUGUCUCCGGCUUAGUUUUCUGCAGUCCAUGAUUUAUUAGCUAAGGUGUUUAGUUUAUUUUGACCCCAAACAGCAGCAUUCACUGCAUUUUGCAUACUAUUAACUAACCGCGUGAAUCCACUGUAUGUGCAAGUUAGCGUUAACUUCAUCACGAACGAGUAACGGAUUAGUAAACACACUUGUCUUUUUUUUGAAUCCUCACAGUUUCUGUCAGAAAACACUGAAAGAAAACUUCUCCUCUGUCUCUGUUUAUACAGCGAUGGUUUGGGUUUAAAGCUGGGUUUGUUGUGCUGGAUAUUUGGUUAGGAGAAGGAGAUUUUAUAAGAUGUGUGGCUGCAUAAUUGUGAACUGAGAUCGCGGUCUGUGAAGUUACACCCGCAGCUAACCAGUGACUUUAAAAAACAAAUAAACACAGCUGUUACUGGACUUUAUGGGUUUUAAAAAAUGAGUUAAUUACUUUUAAAAGACUAGGCUACUAAUGUUGGCCCUGCUGAGUCCAGCUGAUCAUCCAGAAAUAAACAUUGCCUAUGCUGGUCAAAAGCUAUUUAAAGAGCUAACCUCCCAGGGUGUGUUUGUUUGUUUGUUUUUUUUCUGGUUUUGAGUAUUUUUUUAAGGAGGGAGUGUACGUCUGUGCUGCAGUAGAAGAGUGUAAUUUUAGAAAAGUUGCUGUAUUUGUCUCACUGUCUUAGAUAGUAUAGACUUUAAACAUGUUACUAAAAAUUAACACUGGACCGUGUUUUUAAAUACUUGCCAUUCUGAACAUUUUCAUGCAUAUUUUUUAUGUCGGUUAGUUUUAUUUAUAUAAAGUAAGACCUGUAGAUCUACUUUAUUGGAUAAAUUGAUACAGCUACCAUGAACUGUUUUGUUUCUGUUCUGUAAAAUCAGGCCCAGUUCCAAAAGACACAACAUCCUCAGUGUCCUGGAGCUCCAGCUGAAGCACUGGCCACUCCACCUUCUCCAUCCCCACCCAAAAGAGGUACUUCUAAGGCAGCUAGUUGAAGGCGUGAUUGAGGUCCAUGCCAGAGGGGUUCUGCACUGUGACCUCAAGCCAUAGAACAUCCUGGUUCAGAUGUACAGUUAGGAACCACGCCUUCAUCUUCUGUUCUUCUGGACCUUCCUCAUGAGUGGUUUACCCAUGAGGCCAAAUCCUCCACAGUGUUGCAGAUAGGAAUCAUCCUGCUGUGUGUGAGAGGUGACCCUUCAACACCAGCACGGAGAUCACCUCAAAGAAGUCUCAGAUCAUCUCUCCACCAUCUGCUCUAUGACCCCUGGCUAAGUAUACACCACGACACAGCCACCACAUCAGGCACACCUCAGUCAGGUACCAUAUAAAACAAUAAUAAUAAUAAUUUUAAAAAAUCUAUAUUUUCAAUCUCUAGUUUAGAGAGUUCUCUAGUAGAGCUGGGUGAUUAAUCGAUUUUAUCGAUAAAUUCGAAUUUAUAGUUAAGGACAAUGUGUUUUUAUGAAAAUCGAUUUUCUCUGAGUUUUCUUUUUCACCACAGACGCUCCUCUGUGGGCACAGAGUGAGCUUAGCUAGCUCCCUCCAUACCUCCCUCCCUCCAGCGCGCGCACCCCUCGCCCCUCCCUCCCUCCCUCCCUCCCUCCCUCCCUUGCACGCACAAACACACACAUACACAAAACACAUGACGGCGGAUGAUCUGGAGUGAUCUGGAGUUGGUUCGGUUUUGCGGCGUCGGACGUAGACCAAACAGGUCCUCGCUGUAAGGUGAACCAAUUUAUCACUAUACCUUAAACAGAACCAUGUAGCGGAGUGGGAGAAGUGCUGCUACCAUAGGAAUGAACGCAGCAGCAGCACCAGUUCACCAUUCAACGUUAAACAA
This is a long non-coding RNA of Astyanax mexicanus (Mexican tetra), 1926 nucleotides long. RefSeq lists it as uncharacterized. The record is from RefSeq and is a predicted model, not a curated record. The transcript has 3 exons. NCBI's taxonomy places the organism in Eukaryota, Metazoa, Chordata, Actinopteri, Characiformes, Acestrorhamphidae.